UACAUGGGGUGCAAACGUUGCUCGGAAUUAUUGGGCGUAAAGCGCACGUAGGCGGUUCGUUAAGUCGGAUGUGAAAGCCCUCGGCUCAACUGAGGAACUGCGCCCAAAACUGCCGUGCUCGAGGAAGAUAGAGGUAAGCGGAACUUACGGUGGAGCGGUGAAAUGCGUUGAUAUCGUAAGGAACACCUGUGGCGAAAGCGGCUUGACUGGGUCUUUUCUGACGCUGAUGCACGAA
RNAcentral lists this ribosomal RNA (235 nucleotides) under uncultured bacterium. Its description in RNAcentral is "partial 16S ribosomal RNA". It matches the Rfam family "Bacterial small subunit ribosomal RNA", at positions 524 to 757 of the family's 1533-position model. The record is from RNAcentral.